RNAcentral lists this long non-coding RNA (470 nucleotides) under Mytilus galloprovincialis (Mediterranean mussel). Lineage: Eukaryota; Metazoa; Mollusca; Bivalvia; Mytilida; Mytilidae. The record is from RNAcentral.
AAAUUAAUAAUUUAUAUAAGCAACCUAUCAAAUAUGACUGACUAUAUUUUAACAUUUCAUUUGAAAUCAAAUCAGGUCCACAGGCCUUGCCUGAUUUUAAGCUUGCAAUAGCAUCAGAAAUUUCUUUUUUACUAAUAUCAUUAUCUAAAUCAUUAAAAACUAAAUUUUUUUCUUUGUCAUUCAGGAUCAUUUCCAACUGGUUAAGUCGUGAAUAAAAUGUGUUAUCAAUUGCAGAGUGAAGAUUACGGAAGUGAUUGGCCCAUGUAUCAGAAUCAAUUUGUGAAGAGCAGUUUUCUUUUUUGCUAUCCUGAAUGUCAUUUAUUAAUUUCCAAUACUGCUUAGGGUUUUCAACUCUAAGAGUAUCAAGUUUUUGUAGCAUGGAAUUGAUAAAUUGCUUAUAUUUAACUUUUCUACAUUUAUUAUAGAUUCUAAAAUGUUUAUAGUAUCUGCCUUUAAUAACAGGAUCCUUA